AUUGAACGCUGGCGGCAUGCUUUACACAUGCAAGUCGGACGGCAGCAUAGAAGAGCUUGCUCUUUUGAUGGCGAGUGGCGAACGGGUGAGUAAUGCAUCGGAACGUACCGAGUAGUGGGGGAUAACUGUCCGAAAGGAUGGCUAAUACCGCAUAUUCUCUGAGGAGGAAAGCAGGGGACCUUAGGGCCUUGCGCUAUUUGAGCGGCCGAUGUCUGAUUAGCUAGUUGGUGGGGUAAGAGCCCACCAAGGCGACGAUCAGUAGCGGGUCUGAGAGGAUGAUCCGCCACACUGGGACUGAGACACGGCCCAGACUCCUACGGGAGGCAGCAGUGGGGAAUUUUGGACAAUGGGCGCAAGCCUGAUCCAGCCAUGCCGCGUGUAUGAAGAAGGCCUUCGGGUUGUAAAGUACUUUUGUCAGGGAAGAAAAGCCUGGGGAUAACACCCUCAGGUCAUGACGGUACCUGAAGAAUAAGCACCGGCUAACUACGUGCCAGCAGCCGCGGUAAUACGUAGGGUGCGAGCGUUAACCGGAAUUACUGGGCGUAAAGCGAGCGCAGACGGUUAUUUAAGCAAGAUGUGAAAGCCCCGGGCUCAACCUGGGAACUGCGUUUUGAACUGGGUAACUAGAGUGUGUCAGAGGGGGGUAGAAUUCCACGUGUAGCAGUGAAAUGCGUAGAGAUGUGGAGGAAUACCGAUGGCGAAGGCAGCCCCCUGGGAUAACACUGACGUUCAUGCUCGAAAGCGUGGGUAGCAAACAGG
RNAcentral lists this ribosomal RNA (759 nucleotides) under uncultured Neisseriaceae bacterium. Its description in RNAcentral is "bacterial SSU rRNA". It matches the Rfam family "Bacterial small subunit ribosomal RNA", at positions 28 to 776 of the family's 1533-position model. The record is from RNAcentral. Lineage: Bacteria; Pseudomonadati; Pseudomonadota; Betaproteobacteria; Neisseriales; Neisseriaceae.